This 1403-nucleotide ribosomal RNA is filed under the name Cytospora chrysosperma. RNAcentral describes it as "eukaryotic LSU rRNA". The stretch from base 504 to 1403 matches the Rfam family "Eukaryotic large subunit ribosomal RNA", at positions 1 to 931 of the family's 3401-position model. The record is from RNAcentral. Lineage: Eukaryota; Fungi; Ascomycota; Sordariomycetes; Diaporthales; Cytosporaceae.
GAACCCUUUGUGAACUUAUACCUACAUCGUUGCCUCGGCGCUGGCUGCCCCUCCCUCCGGGGAGGGGGCCCUGCCCUCCGGUCGUAAAACACCUGGGGAAAAGGACAGCAGGCCCGCCGGUGGCCCAACAAACUCUUGUUUUUACCGAGUAACAUCUGAGUAAAGCUUCUAAAUAAAUUAAAACUUUCAACAACGGAUCUCUUGGUUCUGGCAUCGAUGAAGAACGCAGCGAAAUGCGAUAAGUAAUGUGAAUUGCAGAAUUCAGUGAAUCAUCGAAUCUUUGAACGCACAUUGCGCCCUCUGGUAUUCCAGAGGGCAUGCCUGUUCGAGCGUCAUUUCAACCCUCAAGCCCAGCUUGGUGUUGGGGCAUUACCUUCCCUCACGGGAGGGUAAGCCCUGAAAUUUAGUGGCGAGCUCGCCAGGACUCCGAGCGCAGUAGUAAAACCCUCGCUCUGGACUGUACUGGCGCGGCCCUGCCGUAAAACCCCCAACUUCUGAAAAUUUGACCUCGGAUCAGGUAGGAAUACCCGCUGAACUUAAGCAUAUCAAUAAGCGGAGGAAAAGAAACCAACAGGGAUUGCCCUAGUAACGGCGAGUGAAGCGGCAACAGCUCAAAUUUGAAAGCUGGCUCCGGCCCGCGUUGUAAUUUGCAGAGGAUGCUUCUGGCGAGGUGCCUUCCGAGUUCCCUGGAACGGGACGCCAUAGAGGGUGAGAGCCCCGUAUGGAUGGACACCAAACCUGUGUGAAGCUCCUUCAACGAGUCGAGUAGUUUGGGAAUGCUGCUCUAAAUGGGAGGUAAAUCUCUUCUAAAGCUAAAUACCGGCCAGAGACCGAUAGCGCACAAGUAGAGUGAUCGAAAGAUGAAAAGCACCUUGAAAAGGGGGUUAAACAGUACGUGAAAUUGUUGAAAGGGAAGCGCUUGUGACCAGACUUGCGCCGGGCAGCUCAUCAGGGGUUCUCCCCUGUGCACUCUGCCCGGCUCAGGCCAGCAUCGGUUCUCGUGGGAGGAUAAGAACGGUAGGAACGUGGCCCCCCUCCGGGGGGGUGUUAUAGCCUGCCGUACGAUACUCCCGUGGGGACCGAGGUUCGCGCUCCGCAAGGAUGCUGGCGUAAUGGUCAUCAGCGACCCGUCUUGAAACACGGACCAAGGAGUCGUCCAUUAGAGCGAGCGUUUGGGUGUAAAACCCGCACGCGUAAUGAAAGUGAACGCAGGUGAGAGCUUCGGCGCAUCAUCGACCGAUCCUGAUGUCUUCGGAUGGAUUUGAGUAAGAGUUUUAACGGACGGACCCGAAAGACAGUGAACUAUGCUUGUAUAGGGUGAAGCCAGAGGAAACUCUGGUGGAGGCUCGCAGCGGUUCUGACGUGCAAAUCGAUCGUCAAAUAUGAGCAUGGGGGCGAAAGAC